RNAcentral lists this ribosomal RNA (342 nucleotides) under Triticum aestivum (bread wheat). RNAcentral describes it as "partial small subunit ribosomal RNA". The record is from RNAcentral. Lineage: Eukaryota; Viridiplantae; Streptophyta; Magnoliopsida; Poales; Poaceae.
AUGCUGCCCUCGGUCUCUUUGGCAAAGCUGGUCUGGUUACUUAAGUUCUUUCCAGGAGGGAAAAAGUUCUAUAUGAUGAUCAUUGCUGCCAUUUGCUGGGGGAUUUGGUGCCUUCGUAACAAAGUUACUUUCGACAAAUAUGUUGCUCGUACUCCGGUGGAGGUUGUUUUCACUGCUUGCUCGUUUAUGUUGUAUUGGAUAGGAUUGCUUAAGGAAGACGACAAGAUGAAGUUCCAUGCUAGGGUAAAGAGGUUGGCUCACGCGGCAGCUGCUCUGCCAGAUAGAUCAUACUCACGUGGCAGGCUUCUUCUGGGAGAUAGAGACGGGAUUCAGAUCGGCUAG